AGUAAAGAGAAAUCACCAUGUGAUCCUAGGAAGAGAAAGGACUUGUUAGGCCAGUGUCCUCGCACUGUUAUCCUCUGGGCCUUCAACCAGUAGCUGAUGGAAGCAGAAGCAGACACCCACAGCUAAACACUGAGCUGAACUCCUGGAAUCCAGUUGCAGAGAGGGAGGAGUGAUGAGCAAAGGGGUCAAGACCAGGCUGGAGAAACCCACAGAAACGUCUGAUCUGAACUAGGGGGAGCUCACGGACCCCAGACUGAUAGCUGGGAAACCAGCAUAGGACGGACCCAGACCCCCUGAUUGUGGGUGUCACUGAGGAGUCCUGGGCAUCAGAAAAAGGAUGGGAUAAGGGCUUGGUGGGGGGCAGGGGAGGAGGUGAGGGAGAGGGAACUGGGAUUGACAUGUAAAACAAGCUUGUUUUUAAUUUAAAUAAAAAAGGAAAAAAAUAGAGUUGA
Molecule: long non-coding RNA, 452 nt
Filed under: Cricetulus griseus (Chinese hamster)
Lineage: Eukaryota; Metazoa; Chordata; Mammalia; Rodentia; Cricetidae
Description: lncRNA (ENSCGRG00015041032.1)
Source: RNAcentral